This 253-nucleotide ribosomal RNA is filed under the name uncultured microorganism. RNAcentral describes it as "partial 16S ribosomal RNA". It matches the Rfam family "Bacterial small subunit ribosomal RNA", at positions 524 to 776 of the family's 1533-position model. The record is from RNAcentral.
UACGUAGGGUGCGAGCGUUAAUCGGAAUUACUGGGCGUAAAGGGUGCGCAGGCGGUCUUGUAAGACCGGUGUGAAAUCCCCGGGCUCAACCUGGGAAUUGCGCUGGUGACUGCAAGGCUAGAGUACGGUAGAGGGGGGUGGAAUUCCUGGUGUAGCAGUGAAAUGCGUAGAGAUCAGGAGGAACACCGAUGGCGAAGGCAGCCCCCUGGGCCUGUACUGACGCUCAUGCACGAAAGCGUGGGGAGCAAACAGG